UUAAAUAAGAAAAGAUUAACUAUCUUAAACCCUAAACCUUGAUUAUAAUCUGCAUCCUUAAAUAUUAAAUAAUAAAUCUAAUCUACAUCCUUAAAUAUUUAUCGUAUAAUUAAUUAUUUUUAUUUUUUAUUUUGAUAUAUUAGUUAAUCAUAAAAAUAUGUGUAUAUUUUUAUCUUUAGCAUUUAAUAAAUAUUUUUUUGAAUAUUUUUUGUAUUAUUUAAAAUAAAACCUUUUUAUUAAAAUUAGAAUUGUUCUUACUGUUUAAAAUUUUGAGCGAUUCACUUGCAUAUAUUGAUUUCUAUAUUUACAAGAAGAAGAAGAAGAAGUGAAAAAAAACAAUGUUUUUUUUAAUAUUUAAACGGUUUUUAUAUUAAAAAAUUGUGUGUUUUUUUUAAAUGACAACUGCAGAAAAUUAAGAUUUAAAAAAAAAAAAAAAAAACAGAACCAAACGCUAAACAAUCUGUUUGCUAAACCGUAAUAGACCAUGAAACCCUAAUCGAUAGAGAAGGACAAAAGUAGUGAUCGCUACCAUCAAAUGGAACCCGCCAGAAUCUUCUUCCGCAGAGACGCUAUAUCGACUGCGGUUCAUCGCAUAAAUUGGAGCACCAGAGCUGAAGCAAGCCAGUAGAUUGAGAAGCUUCCAUUGGUAAGGAAACCGAAAGAUGGAGUAACUUUCGUCGGGAGAAAAUCAGAAAACCAAAGUAGUGAGCAUGGACUAUCAGACGCAAUAGAAAGGCACAGCAAAGAUGAGAAGCUGAAAAAGAAAAGAAAAGACACUACAAGAUUAAGGAAACCACCGGAUCCAGUAUAUAUCGCCGUAUGGAGCAUGAGUUUGGAUAGAUAAAGACCAUAUCUGGCAACCCACUCGCCUCCACCACCUCCAACAGCCCACUGUAUCGAGCUCAGUUCGUCGUCCUCGAAACAAACAUCCACAUCCGAUAGGAAAAACCAUCAGGGUCCAAAUCUAGAGAAACUAGCUAUAGGCGUUAAUCAUCUAAUAAUUGUUUCUCCUUAAUACCCUAUAUCUAUAUUAUCAAAAGAGAAAUACCCAUUAAAAAUACUCC
RNAcentral lists this long non-coding RNA (1064 nucleotides) under Brassica rapa (field mustard). RNAcentral describes it as "long non-coding RNA (BRAP_LNC007725)". Lineage: Eukaryota; Viridiplantae; Streptophyta; Magnoliopsida; Brassicales; Brassicaceae. The record is from RNAcentral.